Pipra filicauda (Wire-tailed manakin) is the source of this 341-nucleotide long non-coding RNA. RefSeq lists it as uncharacterized. NCBI's taxonomy places the organism in Eukaryota, Metazoa, Chordata, Aves, Passeriformes, Pipridae. The transcript has 2 exons. The record is from RefSeq and is a predicted model, not a curated record.
GAUGCAGCAGCUUGUUCCUUCCGUGGUGAGACUUCCUUGGAGACUGUCUUCACUGGGCUUUCAGGCAUGCUGUAGCGGGCCAGUGAGUGUUGCCCCAUCCCCCAGAGGAGGUCAUUAGUAGAACAGGGAGUCGAACUCCAUACAGGUUUCUGCAUCCUGUUCUUCCCUCUCGCUGCUACAGAGAGAGCUCUGGGCUGAGGAGCAUCCAACCCAUGUGAAUGCACCUCAACACCAGGAAGAUGCAGAGGAAUCAUAGAGAAUCUGGAGAAGCACAGCUAGCAUGAUUAAAGGGUUGAAGGAUUGACUUAUUAGGGAAGAAGAUUAAAGGAGCUAAAUAUGGG